RNAcentral lists this ribosomal RNA (446 nucleotides) under uncultured bacterium. Its description in RNAcentral is "bacterial SSU rRNA". It matches the Rfam family "Bacterial small subunit ribosomal RNA", at positions 329 to 792 of the family's 1533-position model. The record is from RNAcentral.
UUCCAGACUCCUACGGGAGGCAGCAGUGGGGAAUAUUGCACAAUGGGGGAAACCCUGAUGCAGCGACGCCGCGUGAGCGAUGAAGUAUUUCGGUAUGUAAAGCUCUAUCAGCAGGGAAGAAAAUGACGGUACCUGACUAAGAAGCCCCGGCUAACUACGUGCCAGCAGCCGCGGUAAUACGUAGGGGGCAAGCGUUAUCCGGAUUUACUGGGUGUAAAGGGAGCGUAGACGGCUGUGCAAGCCAGAUGUGAAAGCCCGGGGCUCAACCCCGGGACUGCAUUUGGAACUGUGUGGCUGGAGUGUCGGAGAGGCAGGCGGAAUUCCUAGUGUAGCGGUGAAAUGCGUAGAUAUUAGGAGGAACACCAGUGGCGAAGGCGGCCUGCUGGACGAUGACUGACGUUGAGGCUCGAAAGCGUGGGGAGCAAACAGGAUUAGAUACCCGCGUA